AAGUCGAGCGAGCUUGCCUAGAUGAUUUUAGUGCUUGCACUAAAUGAAACUAGAUACAAGCGAGCGGCGGACGGGUGAGUAACACGUGGGUAACCUGCCCAAGAGACUGGGAUAACACCUGGAAACAGAUGCUAAUACCGGAUAACAACACUAGACGCAUGUCUAGAGUUUGAAAGAUGGUUCUGCUAUCACUCUUGGAUGGACCUGCGGUGCAUUAGCUAGUUGGUAAGGUAAUGGCUUACCAAGGCGAUGAUGCAUAGCCGAGUUGAGAGACUGAUCGGCCACAUUGGGACUGAGACACGGCCCAAACUCCUACGGGAGGCAGCAGUAGGGAAUCUUCCACAAUGGACGAAAGUCUGAUGGAGCAACGCCGCGUGAGUGAAGAAGGGUUUCGGCUCGUAAAGCUCUGUUGGUAGUGAAGAAAGAUAGAGGUAGUAACUGGCCUUUAUUUGACGGUAAUUACUUAGAAAGUCACGGCUAACUACGUGCCAGCAGCCGCGGUAAUACGUAGGUGGCAAGCGUUGUCCGGAUUUAUUGGGCGUAAAGCGAGUGCAGGCGGUUCAAUAAGUCUGAUGUGAAAGCCUUCGGCUCAACCGGAGAAUUGCAUCAGAUACUGUUGAACUUGAGUGCAGAAGAGGAGAGUGGAACUCCAUGUGUAGCGGUGGAAUGCGUAGAUAUAUGGAAGAACA
This 689-nucleotide ribosomal RNA is filed under the name Lactobacillus sp. JCM 2010. RNAcentral describes it as "bacterial SSU rRNA". It matches the Rfam family "Bacterial small subunit ribosomal RNA", at positions 59 to 708 of the family's 1533-position model. The record is from RNAcentral. Lineage: Bacteria; Bacillati; Bacillota; Bacilli; Lactobacillales; Lactobacillaceae.